CCUCUCCAGGGCUGCCUUAGGCGAGAAGCUGGUGGGAUCGAUCCAGCCAUCUGUUUAAUCCCAGAAACAAAGGUUCUGCGUGGGAUGCACAUUUGCCCUGCAUUAAAUCAGGCCUCAUGUCAUCAGUGUGCUGAGUCCUGUCCAGUGCUCUUCCCAGCCUGCUCACUCCAGCACUCAGAAAGUCUCUGCUUGUUCUAGCCUGUCUUUCGCACCUCUCCAACAUGUGUGAAUCUCCCUUUUGAAUAGAGAGCAAACCGGCGUCAGGCCAGAGCCUUGGCAGGCAGAAUCGCAAGUUGGCUCGCUGGCUGUUUCAGGCGCUCAUUGUGCUUGUGUUCUCAGGAAGUGAGACUCCCCUGAGCGCACCAGGCUGCAUGCAGCUCAGGCCACGUGGAGAAGCCAUGGAGAAUGAGACACACCCUGGAGGAGAGCAUGGCCAAGAAGCACCAGAUAAGUGACGAAGAAGCUUCUCAGAGGCGGCUCUCCCGGCUCCAGCUCCCCAAUGGCCAUCAUGUGGAGUCAAGAAGAACCGUUCUGUUGAGCCCUCUCCAAAUUCCUGACCCACAAAAUUGUGAGCAAACUAAAACAGCUAAUUGAAGUCCCUAUGUUUUGGAGCACUUUGUUAUACAGCAGUGGAUAACUGCAACAUGACCCAACAGCCAGCAAGAUCUUUUAAAAAUGGAAACCAAACAAUGCCACUCCUCAACUUCAAGCUCUCCAGUGGCUUCUUAUUACAAAAUCUGGACUUUUCACCAUGGCCUGCAGGGCUCUGGACAGUCUGGGCCCUGUCCCCAUUGCCACUCCCUUCCUCCCUGGGCUCCAUCCACACUGUCCUCAACCCUCCAGCACAGUAAGUGCCUGCUCACAUUCCUUCUUCCUGAGACACUCCGCAUCUCUUCUCAUCUCCUGGUCUCUGCUAAGAUGUCAUCUCCUCCACUUUACACCCAUCUGGGUGCCUGUUAACAAGAAAACAGGAAAUAACAAGGGUUGAUGAAGAUGUGGAGAAGUUGAAAUCCCGAUACAUUUUAUAUGAUACAUGUACUAUAAAAUGAUACACUUUAUAGUAAGAUGGCACUGUUCUGCUGCGGAAAACAGUAUGGUGUUUUCUAAAAAAAUUAAACAGAAUUACUGUAUGACCUGGCAAUUUCUCUUCUGGGUAAAUACUCAAAAGAAUUGAAACCAGAAUCUCACAGAGAUAAUUGUAUGCCCAUAUUCGUAGCAGUAUUAUUCACAGGAGCUAAGGGGUGGGAGCAACCCAAGUGUCCAUGACAGAUGAAUGGAUGAGCACAUGUGGUCUAUCCACACAAUGGGUAUUACUGAGCCUUCAAAAGGAAGACAAUUCUGCACAUGCUACAACUUGGAUGAACCUUGAGGACAUUAUGCUGAGCGAUAUAAGCCAGUAAAAAAAGGAAAAUACUGUAUGACUCCACCUAUAUGAGGUACUAGUAUAGUCACAUUCCUAGAGACACAAAGUAGAAUGGUGGGUGCCAGAAGAGGAGGGAAUGGGGAGUUAGUGUUUAGUGGGGACAGAGUUUCAGGUUUGCAAGAUGAAAAAAGAUAGAGACACAUGGUGGUAAUGGCUGCACAACAAUGUGAAUGUGCUUAAUGCCACUGAACUUAAAAAUGGUUAAGAUGAUAAAUUCUGUGUUAUGUAUAUUUUACCACAAUAAAAAAUACGAAAAGAAAAACC
Molecule: long non-coding RNA, 1687 nt
Filed under: Homo sapiens (human)
Lineage: Eukaryota; Metazoa; Chordata; Mammalia; Primates; Hominidae
Description: HSALNT0060087
Source: RNAcentral